GGACUACCGGGGUAUCUAAUCCCGUUUGCUCCCCUAGCUUUCGUGUCUCAGUGUCAGCACACUCCCAGUCAGCUGUUUUCACCAUUGGCGUUCCAAAUGAUAUCUACGCAUUUCACCGCUCCACCAUUUGUUCCGCUGACCCCUAAGUGGCUCAAGACCAGCAGUAUACCCAGCAGUUCCACGGUUGAGCCGUGGGAUUUCACAAGGUACUUACCAGUCCACCUACACACGCUUUAAGCCCAGUGAUUCCGCCUAACGCUUGGCACCUCUGUCUUACCGCGGCUGCUGGCAC
RNAcentral lists this ribosomal RNA (292 nucleotides) under uncultured bacterium. RNAcentral describes it as "partial 16S ribosomal RNA". The record is from RNAcentral.